This is a long non-coding RNA of Trichoplusia ni (cabbage looper), 1648 nucleotides long. RefSeq lists it as uncharacterized. The transcript has 6 exons. The record is from RefSeq and is a predicted model, not a curated record. NCBI's taxonomy places the organism in Eukaryota, Metazoa, Arthropoda, Insecta, Lepidoptera, Noctuidae.
CGACAAAUAGUUAAGACGAAUGUGUGGUGUUACGAGAGCAGAUAGAGUAGGAAAUGAGUAUGUAAGGGGAAGUUUGAAAGUGGCACCGGUUCCGGAAUGAGAGUCAUGACGUGGUGAGGAAGGUGUUGAGUAUGUAUGUGGAUGGAUAUAUCGGAAGAGGACGACCAAGGAAACGAUGGAUGGAUUGUGUGAAAGACGGUAUGGCUGCAAAGAGUGCUUCUUGUGAGAUGACGUCAGAUCGAAAGUUAUGGAAGGAGAAGAUCCCAAAGAUGAUGAUAAUGAUACCUAAAGUCACUUUUGUGGUUUUUGGACAUUGGAAGAUGCGAAAACGAAAUAAUAACAACAAACAACGGGCUUAACGAAAACGAAAAACUUAACAAAACAAUAACAAAAUUCACAAUCAACAAAAACUUAAAAACUGAAAACAAACACAAACCGCAUACAAGGCAGAUUCACGUCGUUCUGACGUUUGACGAUUGCGAUUUGCAAUACGAUCACAAGAUGGACGUUCCGACUCAUCGAUUUGAUUUCGAUGCAACAGUGUCAAUCUCUAUUGACAAAAGUUCCGUUCCAUGCAUCUGACAUUGGUAUGACAUAAUUUCAUCUUUGUUAAAAUUGACAUUUUUUUAAUACAUAACAGUUAAUAACAUAAAUAAUAUCUGUUCUGUUAUUAAUUAUUUAAUUAGUCUUUUGGUCAGGAGAAAAUAAUUAGUUUCGUUUGGUUCCCCUAUUGUUUUCUUGUGAGAAAAUUGCGUAGCAAGGAGUAUGAGAACUGUCACGCAUAUCGCUUUACGGAGUAUCAACAUUUAAUAACAUUACAUAUUGGCUUGUUUUGUUAUUGUUUAAGAACGACUUUAAAAAAUGUAAAAACGCUCCAAAUUAUAUUUUUAUUUGUGGUGUUAUAACACCGUGCGGUGCAAGGAAAACUACCAAUAAAUCUGUUUUAACAAUUCAUAGAUUGCAGAUGACAAUUUAAAAUAGUGAAUUGCUUUGCAGUAGAUAGCGUAUGAUGCCACAAUAAUAUGCUACCGUUUACGAAUGCAAGUAAAUAUUUAUUUUUACCUAAUAUUGAACUUACAGACAAAAGAAGAGAUACCAUGAUCUGCUCCACAACCAAACUAUUUGGUUGUUACUCGAAAAGCGUUGGCUACAGAAGUGGCUUGAUGUCAUUGGUACUGAAUAUAAUACUGUGUGCUUAUUCAUUAAACUUGAGGCUGCAUGAUGAUGCAGUACCAUUGUCCACCUUGUAUUAAGCAUAAAAAAUCCUCAUGGCAUCUCGGCCUGAAAUGAAAAUUGUCCAAGAAUAACAGGCAUGAUAACUCAACUAAGCUUACGAGUGAAACACCUGGAUGAGUUUAUAAAGAGACUGAACCCGAAACCGAUUACUUCUGUGAAAACAAUGCCAAAUAAAUAUGAAUUAUUGCUGCCUCAUCCGCCAUCUUUAUUUAAUAAGAUCCAGGAAGUAUGUGGUGCCCAGAGAAACAAGUAAAGUAUUGAAUGAGAAAAUUAGACGCCAAGUCAAAACAUCUUAAAUAUGCAAGAUGUUAUUACUAUUAUGAAGAACAAAGCUACAUGAAAAAACGGUUUGCAAGGCUUUCCUUUCUAAACCAAGUACCUAUUCUGAGAUAAUUAAAAAGUUGAACUACGC